RNAcentral lists this ribosomal RNA (467 nucleotides) under uncultured bacterium. RNAcentral describes it as "bacterial SSU rRNA". It matches the Rfam family "Bacterial small subunit ribosomal RNA", at positions 82 to 543 of the family's 1533-position model. The record is from RNAcentral.
CGGAUGCUGACGAGUGGCGAACGGGUGAGUAAUACAUCGGAACGUGCCCGAUCGUGGGGGAUAACGAAGCGAAAGCUUUGCUAAUACCGCAUAAGAUCUACGGAUGAAAGCAGGGGACCGCAAGGCCUUGCGCGAACGGAGCGGCCGAUGGCAGAUUAGGUAGUUGGUGGGAUAAAAGCUUACCAAGCCGACGAUCUGUAGCUGGUCUGAGAGGACGACCAGCCACACUGGGACUGAGACACGGCCCAGACUCCUACGGGAGGCAGCAGUGGGGAAUUUUGGACAAUGGGCGAAAGCCUGAUCCAGCCAUGCCGCGUGCAGGAUGAAGGCCUUCGGGUUGUAAACUGCUUUUGUACGGAACGAAAAGACUCUGGUUAAUACCUGGGGUCCAUGACGGUACCGUAAGAAUAAGCACCGGCUAACUACGUGCCAGCAGCCGCGGUAAUACGUAGGGUGCAAGCGUUAAU